UGAAUACGAGACGCUAAGGCGUCGAAGUAGUGUAUGUCAUACUUCCAAGAAAAGCUUGCACUGUCAUAGAUAAAAAACGCCUGUACCAUAACCGACACAGGUGGGUAGGUAGAGUAUACUAAGGGGCGCGAGAUAACUCUCUCUAAGGAACUCGGCAAAAUAACUCCGUAACUUCGGGAGAAGGAGUGCCUUAUUCGUAAGGUUGCAAUAACAAGAUCCAAGCAACUGUUUAUCAAAAACACAGGUCUCCGCUAAGUCGUAAGACGAUGUAUGGGGGCUGACGCCUGCCCAGUGCCAGAAGGUUAAAGAAGUUGGUUAGCAAUUGCGAAGCUGAUAACUGAAGCCCUGGUGAACGGCGGCCGUAACGAUAACGGUCCUAAGGUAGCGAAAUUCCUUGUCGGGUAAGUUCCGACCCGCACGAAAGGCGUAAUGAUUUGGAUACUGUCUCGGAGAGGGGCUCGGUGAAAUAGACUUGUCUGUGAAGAUGGACUACCUGCACCAGGACAGAAAGACCCUAUGAAGCUUUACUGUAACUUGAAAUUGAAAUUGGACUUUAUUCGCGCAGUAUAGGUGGGAGGCGUUGAUUAUAAUCUUGUGGGAUUAUUGGAGCCAUCAGUGAGAUACCACACUUGUAAUGUUAGAUUUCUAACUUUGAAUCAUUAUCUGGUCAAAGAACAGUUUCAGGCGGGCAGUUUGACUGGGGCGGUCGCCUCCUAAACGGUAACGGAGGCGUACAAAGGUUUCCUCUGAACGGUUAGAAAUCGUAUCUAGAGUGUAAAGGCAUAAGGAAGCUUGACUGUGAGACCUACAAGUCGAGCAGGGACGAAAGUCGGUCUUAGUGAUCUGACGGUACUGAGUGGAAAGGCCGUCACUCAACGGAUAAAAGUUACUCUAAGGAUAACAGGCUGAUCUCCCCCAAGAGUUCACAUCAACGGGGAGGUUUGGCACCUCGAUGUCGGCUCAUCGCAUCCUGGGGCGGUAGUACGUCCCAAGGGUUGGGCUGUUCGCCCAUGAAAGCGGUACGCGAGCUGGGUUCAGAACGUCGUGAGACAGUUCGGUCCAUAUCCGGUGUAGGCGUUAGAAUAUUGAGAGGAGCCUUCUUUAGCACGAGAGGACCGAGAAGGACAUACCUCUGGUGUACCAGUUAUCGUGCCAACGGUAAACGCUGGGUAGCUAUGUAUGGAGUGGAUAACCGCUGAAAGCAUCUAAGUGGGAAGCCCACCUCAAGAUAAGUAUUCUCAUCAU
RNAcentral lists this ribosomal RNA (1245 nucleotides) under metagenome. RNAcentral's name for it is "bacterial LSU rRNA". It matches the Rfam family "Bacterial large subunit ribosomal RNA", at positions 1564 to 2820 of the family's 2925-position model. The record is from RNAcentral.